This 439-nucleotide ribosomal RNA is filed under the name uncultured bacterium. RNAcentral's name for it is "bacterial SSU rRNA". It matches the Rfam family "Bacterial small subunit ribosomal RNA", at positions 29 to 502 of the family's 1533-position model. The record is from RNAcentral.
AACGAACGCUGGCGGCACGCCUAACACAUGCAAGUCGGACGAUAAGCUAUCUUCGGAUAGUGGACAGUGGCGGACGGGUGAGUAUCGCGUGGGAACCUGCCUAUUGGUACGGAACAACAGUUAGAAAUGACUGCUAAUACCGUAUAUUCCCUUUGGGGGAAAGAUUUAUCGCCAAUAGAUGGGCCCGCGUUAGAUUAGCUAGAUGGUGAGGUAAUGGCUCACCAUGGCGACGAUCUAUAGCUGGUUUGAGAGGAUGAUCAGCCACACUGGGACGUGAGACACGGCCCAGACUCCUACGGGAGGCAGCAGUGGGGAAUAUUGGACAAUGGGCGAAAGCCUGAUCUAGCCAUGCCGCGUGAGUGAAGAAGGCCUUAGGGUCGUAAAACUCUUUCGCCAGAGAUGAUAAUGACAGUAUCGUGGUAAAGAAACCCCGCUAACU